UUCCGGUUGAUCCUGCCGAAGGCUACUGCUAUUGGAGUUCGAUUAAGCCAUGCGAGUCUAAGGGAUCUUCGGAUCCCUGGCGUAAUGCUCAGUAACACGUGGAUAAUCUACCCUCAGGUGGGGCAUAAACCCGGGAAACUGGGGCCAAUUCCCCAUAGAUACAGAUGGCUGGAAUGCUUCUGUAUUCAAAGCUCCGGCGCCUGAGGAUGGGUCUGCGGCCUAUCAGGUUGUAGUCAGGGUCAAGACCUGACUAGCCAGCGACGGGUAUGGGGUGUGAGAGCACUUGCCCAGAGAUGGUUUCUGAGACACGAAACCAGGCCCUACGGGGCGCAGCAGGCGCGAAAACUUCGCAAUGCGGGAAACCGUGACGAGGGAACUCCAAGUGUCUAUGCAUUGCAUAGACUGUUUUUUAGCCUAAAAAGCUAUUAGAGUAAGGGGUGGGCAAGACCGGUGCCAGCCGCCGCGGUAACACCGGCACCUCGAGUGGUAGCCACUAUUAUUGGGCCUAAAGCGUUCGUAGCCGGUUUGGUAAAUUCUUGGGUAAAUCGUACCGCUUAACGGUGCGGAUUCCGGGGACACUACCAGACUUGAGACCGGGGGAGAUCAGAGGUACUUGCGGGGGAGCGGUGAAAUGUUGUAAUCCUGCAGGGACCACCAGUGGCGAAGGCGUCUGAUCAGAACGGCUCUGACGGUGAGGAACGAAACCCUGGGGCGCAAACGGGAUUAGAUACCCCGGUAGUCCAGGGCGUAAACGCUGCUGACUUGGUGUUGGGGAUCCUACGAGGAUGUCCAGUGCUGGCGCGAAGGUAUUAAGUCAGCCGCCUGGGGAGUACGGUCGCAAGGCUGAAACUUAAAGGAAUUGGCGGGGGAGCACCGCAACCUGAGGAUUGUGCGGUUUAAUUGGAUUCAACGCCGG
Molecule: ribosomal RNA, 916 nt
Filed under: uncultured marine archaeon
Lineage: Archaea
Description: bacterial SSU rRNA
Rfam family: Archaeal small subunit ribosomal RNA
Source: RNAcentral